CCUACGGGAGGCAGCAGUGGGGAAUAUUGCACAAUGGGGGAAACCCUGAUGCAGCGACGCCGCGUGAGUGAAGAAGUAAUUCGUUAUGUAAAGCUCUAUCAGCAGGGAAGAAAAUGCGGUUACUUGACUAUUAGCCCCUGCUCACUACCUGCCCAGAAGCACCGGUAUUACUAGGGGGGCAAGCGUUAUCGGGUUUACCUGGGGGAAAAGGGGGCGUAGACGGUAGGGCAAGCUUGGAGUGAAAGGCGGGGGCUCAACCCCCGGACUGCCCUGGAAACUGUACGGCUGGAGUGCAGGAGAGGUGAGUGGAAUUCCUAGUGUAGCGGUGAAAUGCGUAGAUAUUAGGAGGAACACCAGUGGCGAAGGCUGCUUACUGGACUGUAACUGACGUUGCGGCUCGAAAGCGUGGGGAGCAAACAGGAUUAGAUACCCUUGUAGUC
RNAcentral lists this ribosomal RNA (440 nucleotides) under uncultured bacterium. Its description in RNAcentral is "partial 16S ribosomal RNA". It matches the Rfam family "Bacterial small subunit ribosomal RNA", at positions 338 to 795 of the family's 1533-position model. The record is from RNAcentral.